CCUAAAACCGAAAAGACGGGAAGAAGAGAGACGUGGAACAGAAUCAACUAAGCGGGACUCCCAGGGGUCUACAGAGGCUGAAGCAGCCACGGUGGAGCCUGCAUUGGUCUGCGCUAGGCUUGGUGAAUUUCCAGGAAGAGGGACUGAGGCCAGGGUACUCCUGGCCCAGGAAAUUGUCAAAAGUGUCAAAAGGAUGGGGAUGUUGGAGGAGCUGGAGGAAGUUGGUGUUAUCUCAGGGGGAGCUUUCUGCUGGAGCUACUGUCUGGAACGGGCUCAGAUUCUGUUUUGAAGAAGUGCGCCCAUUGUUGACUGCCCACUGCCCUGGAGGAAUACAGCAAGCAGGGCAAAUUGUAUGGCUAAGGUUGAUUUCGUCUCUGGUUAUUUGUUGCAGCAACAGGAAACUGACCAACACCAUCCUGUACACUGUGGCUCUUCCCUCUGAUGAGAAGUGUGGGGUGUGGAGCUGAAGCCUCAAUGUCUAAGACCACGUUCUACCAAUUACCCACAUAUAGACACGCUCCAAGGCCUGAUGGGAAGGGCCAUCUGUGUAUCUUGCUUAGAACAGCAGCUGGCACUGUGUGGAAGUUCGUCCCUCUGCAGCCCAUUACGGUUGCAGAGACCCCCACGGCCGGUGCGUGACGUGGGACAUGCUCAAUGUGGGACUUGACCCUUGGAAAAGUCUGGACUGCAGUUAUAUAUUGCUUGAAUGCUCUUUAGAAGGACCAUCGGGAUCCUCUGGACACACCUUGGCAGGGUGAAUCCAGUAAGGCCUAGAGCACGAAGUGCUUUGCUUCAGGGGAUCCGGCCAAAGAGACAAGAACUAGGCAAGACCUCGAGUGUGGAUCUGAUGCAGUCCUGUGCACCUCAGGUGUGGAUGGGGGUCACCGUGCUACAGAUGAGCCAGCCUCCCCAGAAAGCGGCUUCUCUUGCUACGGGGAACCACCUGAAGGAAAGAGAUGCUUUCUCUGCUAUGGGGAUACAACUGUCUGCUGUCAUAGCCCCAGGAACAACGAGAGAGGAAGCCUUAGCAGAACAGGACAGCAAACCCAGACCCAGCUGGGGCCUAGGAGCUACUGCAACUCCCCACUGUCUGUGGAAAGAGCUGGGGGGAGGGUGAGAGCCAGUGUGGAAUUAGUUGGAGUGACAGGAGACAAGUGUGAGCAGUGUGGGUUAUUAAUAGGGACGAGGACAUAUAUUUACAACCAGUGACCCCCAGUGAAGGUUAGAACAGUUACCUAGAUGUAUCUGAGACCCACACAGAAGACACCCCAAGCUUGCAAAGUGAGCUUUCUCAUCCCAGAGUCCCUUAGGCCAAGGGGCUUGGGCAACAGAAGCAAGAACCUUGACUGUGUCUGUGUGUGUGUGUGUGUGUGUGUUUGCUCAGGCUGUGUGCUGCUGUUCUAGGGGAGGGAGGGAGAGAAGAGGAAGAGGAAGAAACCGAGGAAGAGGGGAGGGUGCUAAACGUAAGCUUAGCCAGCUGGCUCUGUGGUUUCCAUUCUCCCUUCUACCUCCAGCUUCGUGGGGGAGUAAACUGUCCCCUUUAAGUGACAUUUUUCUUGUUCCAUCCUGGCUUGGAAGAUUUGGGCCUUGAAACCUGAAGGCAAAUAAAACACAUACUCUGGUCUGCCUCCUAAGAGUGGGUACAGGGUGUUAGGGGCAGGUACGAUCACUAGUCAGGGAGCAUGAGGUGGGUCAGAUCUGACAGGUGGCCCAGCUUGUCCCCACACUGGCAGAAUUUAGUUGCUGAGGACCCUAAGGUGGGAGGGGAGGGCUGGGUCCGGGGUGUGCUGUCCUGUAGGUUUGGGGGGCAGGGAAGGGUGGGUUCUGGGAUUAAGGCUGGUCGGAAGGUGUGACACCACAGUUGGCUUCUAGUCUGGCUGGGUUUGGGUUAAAAGGCUGCAGAGCAAUUCAGUCCCUCCCAUUCGUGUGACGUUCUGAAAGGGGCCUCUGGAGUACACGGUGAUUUUCACAGAGCUCAGCUAUGGCAGGUCAAGCUGCUUUUGUCGAAACCCUAGGACGGGUCAGAGGUUGCUGAGUUCCCGUUCUGAUCCUGUUCAUACCACUCCUUUUCCUGAACUGCUCUGUGUCUUAGUCAGGGUUUGACUGCUGUGAACAGAUGCCAUGACCAAGGCAAGUCUUAUAAGGACAACAUUUAAUUGGGGCUGGCUUACAGGUUCAGAGGCUCAGUCCAUUAUCAUCAUGGUAGGAAGCAUGGCAGCAUCAGGCAGGCAUGGUGCAGGCAGAGCUGAGAGUUCUACAUCUUCAUCUGAAGGCUGCCAGGACAAGACUCACAUCCAGGCAUCUAGGACAAGGGUAUUAAAAAGCCCACGACCAUAGUGACACACCCACUCCAACAAGGCCACACCUGUUGGCAUCAGGACCUCCCAAACCUAUGACAUCACAUAGGCGACAGCGUGACCUGCAGACCUGUUGCCAACAGGCACCGUAGUCCCAGAAUCCACUUGGCUCACCUACUACCUUUACCUGUGUUACAUCAUUUUCCAUAUAAAUAAGGGGAACGCCCCUCCCCCCUCUCUUUCCCCCUUCUCUUUCUUUUCUGCCACCACUUUCCCCCACCCCCACCCCUCCCAAUAAACCUCUCACAUGUGAAACGGUUUGGGCCCAGUGUGCUGUGUAGAGACAUGAGCAGCUAUUUUAACACAUCAACACCCACUCCAACAAGGCCACACCUCCAAAUAGUGCCACUCCCUGGGCCAAUCAUAUACAAACCAUCACACUCUGUGUCCCACUUUUAAUUGGAGUUAAUAAAAGUACUUCCUACAUAGAGUUUUGGUGAUCAGAAAAGUAUGUGACAUGUUUGGUACCGGCCUGACACACCGACUGGGUGCCCUCCAGAAGGUGAAUUUUUCUAUCAUUCCUCACCAACUCCAGCAAUUUUUUUUUCACCAAGACAAAGGCAGUAGGUAAUAGCAGAUAAAGUAGGUGAUAUUUGAUAAAGCUCAGCUUAAGACAGAAUGAGCACUCUCAAAGGGUGCUCACUUGCAAACUUGUUUUUGCUGCUGUAACCAAACACUAUAAGCUGAGUAAUUUGUAAAGAAUGAAGGCCGAGUCAGCUCGAGCUUCUGAAGACUGAGCAACUCAUGGUAAGUGAGCCACAUUGGUGACUUUCUGACUUGUGGAGACUGUGCAGUGUCCCAAGGACAUCACAUGGGGAAGACAGUCAAUGUGUCAGAGAGGGCGGGCUGGUCUUUACAGCAAAGCCUCUCCCUUGGUGGCCCAUCGAUGUCUGAGUGAACUAACCUACCCUUCGUCUCCAAAUGCCAGCUAGCGUGUCACUCAGAGGGGGAGCCAGGACUAUUCUCAUCUGCUCCUCCAGGGAGAAGAGGUGUGUGGAAAUGGCCACGCGUGAGUAGGGGAGAAAAAUGACAAUUCAAAAAGCUGCAAUCCAUCAAUAAUUGCAGAGUGGCUUCUAUCAAGAGAAUCUAUCCAGACUCACGCAUGUAUUUCCCAGUUUACUGACCCUCCCAGGAAUUGAACAUGUUAGACCCUCCUAUAAACUUGACUGCGUUAGGGGAUUUACUUCCGGAUCUCCGUCCCCAGGACUGUCUGGAUGCUCCUUGAACAGUACCAUCUCAUCCCUUUCCCAAGACCUUAAAUGUGCACAGUGUCUCCCUUUACAAUGUAGUCACAGCCCCUUGCAAAUCACUGGAUGUCCAAAACUAAAACACAGGAGGCUUUUCCCUCCACGGUCUUCACUUCAAGGAUAAACAGAUGGCACCUGCCCAAGGUCAUGUAGCUGCCUCGCUAUUUUUUCAAAUUGCUCCAGUUUGCCUAAUAUUAAACUUCAAAUUAAAAUGAAACAAAAAUGGUCUGGUGGGGCACAUUGGCACACGCCUGUAAUCCCAAGACUUGGGCAGUUGAGGCAGCGAGAUAAUGAGAGGCCAGUAUGGCCUACCCAGUAAGAUCUUGCUUCAAAACCACAAAUGA
Long non-coding RNA from Mus musculus (house mouse), 3948 nucleotides. RefSeq annotates it as predicted gene, 30706. The record is from RefSeq and is a predicted model, not a curated record. Lineage: Eukaryota; Metazoa; Chordata; Mammalia; Rodentia; Muridae. The transcript is spliced from 10 exons.